UUUAUAUACACGUACCUAUAUUGAGAAGAACCCAUUGAUUUCUGUCCCAAAUAAAAAUGAUACAUUCAAAUGGUUUUAUCACUAUUCCAUAUUUUUAAAGUGUAAAGAUACAAGAUAAACACGCUUACAGUUGAAAGUGGACAAGAAAACACAUGUAUUUCAAAUUGGCAUAAUGUUAACAUAAUUUGCUUACAGGCACCUGAACUCCA
Molecule: long non-coding RNA, 209 nt
Filed under: Mytilus galloprovincialis (Mediterranean mussel)
Lineage: Eukaryota; Metazoa; Mollusca; Bivalvia; Mytilida; Mytilidae
Source: RNAcentral